AUGUGUGUACAUUCAAGCGCCACAAGGUUUAUUCUCCCACCGUGUGCCACUAAUAUUUCAUUUUUGUUGGUGAGAUUUUUAACUUCUGGAUGCACGAAUGGUUUGGAUAUUGUGUUGCGCAAUGCUACUGGGUUAUGCUAUGACCACGGACAUGCUUAUGUGAUGGAUUCGACGGUGCCGAUGUGCCUUGCCUAUAUCAACUACGGUGGCACCAACCCUCUUGACGGAGCCCCGGGAGCUGAUGUGUUUAGCAUGUCUGUUGGCCUCAAGGAUGACCAGUUCAUCUACUUGUGCAACCUAUUCUGCUCCACCAUGGGUGCCUAG
Molecule: ribosomal RNA, 324 nt
Filed under: Triticum aestivum (bread wheat)
Lineage: Eukaryota; Viridiplantae; Streptophyta; Magnoliopsida; Poales; Poaceae
Description: partial small subunit ribosomal RNA
Source: RNAcentral